GGGGAUGAUCGGUUUCGACAUUGCCUGUUCAACGACGGGAAGCGGGCGGAGGAGGCGUGCUUAUCUCCUUAACGAUGCACGCAAACAAUAGGUGCCAGUAAGUCUCGCACCGCGUUCGCUCUCGCUGCUUAAGCCAGAGUGACGCCGUCGGCCCGGGUAACGCCUUCGCCCCGGUAGCCGGCGUCAGCUAGAAGGCUCGCUACGGACGUUCCGCCUCGGGGCGCCGUGGGACUCCAACCGGGGCUGGGCCCGUCGAUCGCAAUCCGUCUGCGGUAAGGAUCGGGGCCGAGCAGAACGACACACGCAGACUGCGCCCGGAGAAGACGUGGUUCCUCAGCAGUGGACGGGGGUUCGAUUCCCCCCAUCUCCACGC
This 373-nucleotide transfer-messenger RNA is filed under the name Amnibacterium setariae. RNAcentral's name for it is "Standard tmRNA". It matches the Rfam family "transfer-messenger RNA". From Rfam's summary of the family: Bacterial tmRNA, also known as 10Sa RNA or SsrA, is named for its dual tRNA and mRNA-like properties. Its role is to liberate the mRNA from a stalled ribosome. To accomplish this part of the tmRNA is used as a reading frame that ends in a translation stop signal. The record is from Rfam by way of RNAcentral. Lineage: Bacteria; Bacillati; Actinomycetota; Actinomycetes; Micrococcales; Microbacteriaceae.